This 1309-nucleotide ribosomal RNA is filed under the name metagenome. RNAcentral describes it as "SSU rRNA". It matches the Rfam family "Eukaryotic small subunit ribosomal RNA", at positions 483 to 1823 of the family's 1831-position model. The record is from RNAcentral.
AGACCGUUCUCUUUCGAGGCCGGUCAUCGGAAUGGGUACAAUUUAAACCCUUUAACGAGUAUCUAUGAGAGGGCAAGUCUGGUGCCAGCAGCCGCGGUAAUUCCAGCUCUCAAAGUGCAUAGAAUUAUUGCUGCGGUUAAAAAGCUCGUAGUUGGAUCUGUGCCAUAGGACGGGGUCCACCUUCGGGUGCGUACUCCGCUCCUAGGCUUUUUGCUGGUUUUCCCGUCGUAGCCUUCACUGGUUGCGGCGGGUGGCUGGCGAGUUUACUUUGAGAAAAUCAGAGUGCUCAAUACAGGCGUCUAGCUUGAAUGAUUGUGCAUGGAAUAAUAGAAAAGGAUUUCGGUCCUCUUUUAUUGGUUUUGUGGACUGAGAUAAUGGUUAACAGGGACAAACGGGGGCAUUCGUAUCGCUGCGUGAGAGGUGAAAUUCUUGGACCGUAGCGAGACGCCCUACUGCGAAAGCAUUUGCCAAGAAUGUCUUCAUUAAUCAAGAACGAAAGUCAGAGGUUCGAAGGCGAUCAGAUACCGCCCUAGUUCUGACCGUAAACGAUGCCAACUAGCGAUCCGCCGGUGGAUUUUUAGCCCUGGUGGGUAGCUUCCCGGAAACGAAAGUCUUCCGGUUCCGGGGGAAGUAUGGUUGCAAAGCUGAAACUUAAAGGAAUUGACGGAAGGGCACCACCAGGAGUGGAGCCUGCGGCUUAAUUUGACCCAACACGGGGAAACUCACCCGGCCCGGACACCGUAAGGAUUGACAGAUUGAUAGCUCUUUCAUGAUUCGGUGGUUGGUGGUGCAUGGCCGUUCUUAGUUCGUGGAUCGAUUUGUCUGGUUUAUUCCGAUAACGAGCGAGACUCUAGCCUACUAAAUAGUAACGAGAUUGCCAUUGUCUUAGUUGCUUCUUAGAGGGAUUUUCGGUGUUUAGCCGCACGAGAUUGAGCAAUAACAGGUCUGUGAUGCCCUUAGAUGUCCGGGGCUGCACGCGCGCUACACUGGCGAAAUCAGCGUGCUGUAUCCAUUCUCGAAAGAGAUUGGUAAACCCAUGAAAAUUUGCCGUGCUUGGGAUCGGAAAUUGCAAUUAUUUUCCGUGAACGAGGAAUUCCAAGUAAGUGCGAGUCAUCAACUCGCUCUGAUUACGUCCCUGCCCUUUGUACACACCGCCCGUCGCUGCCCGGGACUGAGCCAUUUCGAGAAGAUCAGGGACCGGUGGGCUGUGGCCUCUUCGGAGGUUCGGUCCGUUGGAAACUGAUUUGAUCGCAGUGGCUUGAACCGGGCAAAAGUCGUAACAAGGUAGCCGUAGGUGAACCUGCGGCUG